This is a long non-coding RNA of Xiphophorus couchianus (Monterrey platyfish), 3438 nucleotides long. RefSeq lists it as uncharacterized. Lineage: Eukaryota; Metazoa; Chordata; Actinopteri; Cyprinodontiformes; Poeciliidae. The record is from RefSeq and is a predicted model, not a curated record. The transcript is spliced from 2 exons.
CUGAGCAGAAUGUUCUUAAUAACAUCAAUGAGUUCUACAAGGACAAGAUUAGAUCAUUGAACUUGGACCUGGACAAAGAAAGAGAGAAAAUCUACAAGCUUAGAUGGAAACAUGACGCAAUUGUAAAGCGAAAUGCACAACUGAAACAGACAGAGAUUGAAUUAAACAAGGAUUUUGAGAAUUUAUUAAAUGAAAAAUCUAAACAACUAAAGUGGCGUCAAACAGAAAACAGAGAGCUUAAGAAAGAAAUUGAGGCAUUAAAACUAAAGACGGAAAAUAUACAAUCCAGGGUGGCACAAGAAUCCAAGGAGGUCCCCCAUAUUGAAAACAAAAUCCCAGAAGAGACGCCAACAUUCCUGCAACGAGUUGGACGUACCUUCAUUCACAUGUACCAAUCAGGAACGUUAAGAUACUGGGUGCCACCCUGGAUUUUUUAAUGUCUGAAGAGGAACUUUGUAAUAACUUUAAGAUUUUGCAGUGUGAUUUUCUUUUGAGGUAUUGAAGUUUUCACUUGCUGUAAGUUAUGUUUUCCAUUUUCAGUGAGCAGCACCACUGCUUCUUUCUUCUAAGGUUGUUUCACCAGUUUUCUCCUUACAGUGUUCUUGGCAUUAACCAUUCAGCAGUCAUCCUCUAAGGUAACGGCAUCUCAACGUGCUUUGCACUCGUGAUGCGAGUACAGAAACGAAUUUGGUGGUUGGAGUAAACCUGCUACUGUUAUGCCUCUAACAAAGGUCAUUCCAGGGUUAAGCUAUUGAGAAAUGAGGCAUCAGCAGCACUUCAUUAUGGAGUCCAACUUUCACAUCCUGCAAUGUCAGCUUAACUUCUAAAAAGACGCAAUGUUGCCUUUAAUUUUAAGAAUUUUUACACAUGGACUACGCUACACAGUCCAUGUGUAGCGUAGCCGACACGGAGAGCGAGAAAAAGAGAUCCCAAUCUGAUCUAAAAUAACAACGACUAUAAGGAAUCGGUAGUUUAUUUCCCCAGUGUUUUACCUACCAUUGGUAAAACAGAAGCCCGAGAGAAUCCUGACGGAUUAAGUCACAGGUGUCGGACUCACUGACUACUUGACAGACGGGUCAAAGAUCGAGAAACUGAAGGGAUGUUCACAGUCAUCAGUAUUCCUCAAAUUUAAAUUGUGACCCCAAAUCUUGUCUUUUGCAGAAAAUAAAGUUGUGGGGAGUCAUAAUGACGUGGAAGCUGAAAGUAGAUAACUUGUCUGCUUUUGUGGCAGGAAAGAGGAACACUGAAAACGCAUGUUUGCAUUUUUUUCCUGUAUCGUGUUUAGACAUUAAGAAAAGAAGACGCUCUAUGUGAAAGGAGUAGUACACUAAUAAAGCAAACUGGUUGGAUUUAGAGUUUAUUUUUGAUUUGGUGGCCUGGUUGGUGGCUUUGGUUUUGAUUUUAGAGUGUAGAUGUUACAGUAUUGUAGAGGAGUAAGGGAGUAUUUCAGUUUUUGAUGUUGGUUGACCCAAUCUUUGUUCAAGAUUGUAUUUUGACUAGAAAGUUGAGAUUUUAGGAUCAGUGUGAGAAUCUGCUAGGUUUUUGUUCAAUUGUGGUUUUUGGUUUUGUGAAUAAAUGGAAUUGGUUUUUAGUGCAAUGUGAGUAGGUUUUGGACAUGUUACUGUGAAAUAUUGCAUCUGCUACCCGAAUAUUGAACUGUUAGCAUGCGAUGAUGGUCAUGAGGCUGUCAUAUAGCAACAGUCUUUAAAUAUGUGUCAAACUCAAGGCCCAGGGGCCAAAUCCGGUCCGCCGCAACUUUUAAUGUGGCCAAGUUGUGUGCUCUAAUAUUAUUUUAUCAAUCAAAUAAAAUCAGAUUUUACUUGUUUACUGUCAAGUUACAUCAAUAAGUCCCUCCAGUUGUUAAUGAAUUCAGGAAAUUUAUGUUAAAUCAGGAGAUCGGCGAAUUUUUUCCUGCAAAUAUUCCACAAAAAUGGUCAAAAACGUAAAGUUUAAGUGAUGCUAACUCCACUGCUUCCCACCUGCAAGUGGCAGUAUUUCCUACUUCUACUACAUUGCUGCCUCAUUAGUCUGUCAAGUUUUCUGUAAUUCCACAAUCGCAGAAAUUCACCUCAAAUGAACAGAUUCUUACAAUUUUUGUGCAAAUCUUCCUCAAAAAUGGUGGCAGUAUUUCUUACUUCUACUACACUGCUGUACUUGAAGUCAAGUUAUCGUCUGUAAUCGACAUGGAGAGUUACAAAAAUUACAUUUGCCAUCUUGCAAAAGUACAAAUAUUGCUAAAUCUUUUGCAAAUAUUUCUAAAUUUGUGACAUGGAUUGUGAAAAACAUUACAAAAUCAAUCCUGAAAUCAUUGAAGGUCUGAUUAAUGUGGAAAUAUGUUCAAAAUUAUUUAAUUUUAAGGACUUAUUGAAAGCAGACAGAACGCAUAGUCAACGAGUUUGUGUAAGUGUAAACGCAACAUUCACACUCGAGUGAAAAUGGCUGAAAACAGAUGCGUAAUUAAAUAGUACAUCUUUGAAAAGCAGACAGGGAUCCUCCUGCACAACCAACAAGAAUGCAGCAAGUGGUUUCUGGAUGGUAAGUAAACAACAAAACACUUGUCAUUUCCAGCAGCCAUUGUGCAGCUGACAAAACAUUCUUUAGCUAGCAACCCAAGCCGAGUUAAAGUGGCUGGGCUUUGCUGGGGUUGCUAGGCAACGGCAGUGCCAAUUGAGUGUGUCUUAAAAAUUGUGAGGUUUUAAAUUGGCUCAUUUUCAAGGCACCAAAAGACAUGAACUUGUUGGCAAAAAACAGCUGGGUAGGUUUUUUAAGUGCCUUGUUUGUUUUUAGAAGCAACAGAAACACAAAUGUAAGAACAAAACGAGCAAAAUGUAAAUUUUGAGUCACAGGUCUCCUUUAAUAAAUUUAAGUGGACUUAGCGAAAGACUCCAUUUCUUCACUGGACUACCUGAAAGCUGCCACUUUCCCUCCUAAAGCUUUAAAACUCCCACAGUGACAUUUAGCAGAAGGUUAAUUACAGGCCAGCUGAUUCUUCAGGGUUAAAAACGAGGCCUUUCAACAGCACAACACCGUAAGACUAAUCAGGAACCCUGCAGCCUAAUGAGCUGAUCCCAUACAGCAAAGGUCCCUGAACGCAUCGUCAGCCCGUCCUGAGGUGUGUCAGGUUAACACCACAGCGGCCAGCGUGUGGGCGGGCGGCGUGUAGGAAGCUUCUGAGGACAUCAUCACAACAUCUACGUCUUGGUUUUUAAAGCAAUAAGAAGCUAAAAACUCUCCCAGCUCACCUAAUAAAUCUAUUCACCACUCAAGUAUACCAGUUAUGAAUAUUUCAAGGUAAACAAUCAAAGAAAAAAUUCUAUUUUCUAACCAAUUUAAAGGUAAAAUGCUAUUUCCUCUGAGUUGCUGAAAGUAAAAUGUUUUAAUUUAGUUGAAUUCUUGUUCAACAUUUAACAGAAAAUAAAACAUUUCUUCACUUCUUUC